Molecule: long non-coding RNA, 2373 nt
Filed under: Triticum aestivum (bread wheat)
Lineage: Eukaryota; Viridiplantae; Streptophyta; Magnoliopsida; Poales; Poaceae
Description: long non-coding RNA (TAES_LNC012252)
Source: RNAcentral
GUGUCGUCGGCCUCAAUUGCAGCGAGUUGAUUGAGGGCUACAAAUGAGCUUUUGAGGAAGAUUUUCCUGCAAUGCUAAUUACAUAGUAUGGAUUAGCUAGUAUCAGUACAAUUGCAUUCUUACUUAAAUUAUGCAUAUGAAAAUGAAGAACAAUUAUUUAUUUGCAUUUGGGAAAGUCAAUAUUCAGCACCCAUGCAGUGACCGGUGAUGUGUUAAACCAUACAAUAUGAUACAACCAUAUGUGAUAAUCAAGUCAGUAUGGCAACUAAACAAAAACAUGUAUAUUGUGCAUAGGGUAUAAAUAGUACUACCUCAGUUCCUAAAUAUAAGACAUUUAAACUGCCAAAACGUCUUAUAUUUAGCAACAGAGGAUGUACAUAUGAACAUUUAGAGCCACAGACAUAGACUGCCAAUGCCAGAUAAGAGAACAGUCUUCCAUCAUAUGUGGCUCUUUUUCACAGAAAGUUUGGUUACUACUACAGCGCAAGGUCUCAACACUGUGGCAGCGUAAUAAAGAAUUCCACAGAUGCUCAGAUUUUCAGAACUUGUCAUCAUAAUCUUAUACUCCGAAUAUGCAUACCUAGCAUGAUUCUAAGUUUGGUUGUAGCAGUAAUCAUGCCAAUGAAGAAAGUAUUAUGGUGGUGGAAAUAAGUAGAAGAUAGUCUUCUUCUGGGAUCUGCAAUAAUACUCGCUUAGGAAGAACUGCAAGAUACAAGGCAUACAUACUCAGAUGAGAGAGCAGAUCUGCGGGCUGAGCAUUUGUGGUAAGGUGAACUGAAGUGACGCAUGAAUGUAUCUCGAGGAAGACGACCUCAGAAUGAACCCGUCGCUACCCUUCGCCUCCGACAAACACCGCAUCAACAGAUUGAUUGGAAUAUCAAUUCCUAAAAAGCAUGAUCAUACACAGAAGUAUACUGAUUCCAAUGAUGGGCUUCUAUAUGAAACCAAAUUUUAAAUAUACUGAACUCUUUUGCAUCAGAUUAAAAUUAGCAAAAAAAAUGAUGGUAAAUCUAAUAUCAUAUCCAAAUACAACUUUGUGCUCAGCAGUACCUACAAUCUAACGCAGCUGAUCCAUCAAAGAAAGUAUAUACAUUACCUACAAUCGAACGCAGCUGAUCCAUCAAAGAACGUAUAUACAGGAAAGGCUAGUCUAACACAAAGUCUAAAAGGUAAACUAAACCUACAUCCAGUUGAUAGAAAAGAAAAGGCAUCAUGCGUGUAUUGGGCAGAGCAAAUCAGGUCAAGAUUAAAAUUAGCUAAAUAUAAAAAUUUGGGAAUGCUAAAUACCAAAAAAUGACUUGGCAAAGCUGAUCAAUACAAUAAAUCAAAAUCAAUUCGCAAAAGGCAUGAACCUUUGUGGUCUUCGAGAAAAGACCAACAUCUUUCUCCCCUAUAACUAAUUAUACUUGUACACUCACAAAUAUAUGUGCUAAAUACCACAAAAUGACUUGGCAAAGCUGAUCAAUACAAUAAAUCAAAAUCAAUUCGCAAAAGGCAUGAACCUUUGUGGUCUUCGAGAAAAGACCAACAUCUUUCUCCCCUAUAACUAAUUAUACUUGUACACUCACAAAUAUAUACAAGCCUCAAAGGUAAAGUGUCGUGGGUGUGUGACUACCAAUUCAUCCGAAGAUAUAUAUUACAGUAAAUUAUUGCACAAUGUUACUUCCGAAACAUGGAUAGAAUAUGGAAUAUUUACCUUAACAAAUUCUUGCAUAAACAGCAAAGUCUGUACUAAUUGAUGCUAGUUCUCUUGCCACAAGAACAAACCAGGUCAUCUAAACAGGCAAGGUUACGUAUAGAAACCCACAUCGCUCUAGCCACUGCCAAUACACUUGAUUUCGCUCGGAUCUCAUUUUCCUCAUCCAACGCCAUCUCCAAGUCCCUGUGGUGAGGACAAGAGAUGAGGAGGCAUCGACCAAUAGAAGGUGCAUCAACGAGGAAGAAAGGACACACACACACAACAAGUCCACAGCAGCAAGAAUCGAGGGGAGCAAGGAUCGGGAACAAAUCACGUACUUACCUUGCUAGGGCAUGUCCUAGGUUGUGGAUCCAGUUUGGGCACAGGUCAUGGGAAGAGACGCCUGUUGUGGAGGCACGAGCACCUGCGGACCGCCUUCCCUCCAGCAGCGGCGUGGUCAAGCCCAUAUUCAUCGGGGCUGAACCCCGGAUGUUGACGUCCCGCCUGUGACCCUUCUGUUCGAGGAGAAGCGAACACACGCGUGGAAGGAUCCAGUCGGAUCCGUACGAAGAAGAGGAGGAGAGGCGGCGCUGGUGGAGGAGAAGGAGGAGAGGUGGCGCUGGUGGAGAAGGAGAAGGAGAAGGGGGCGUGGCGGCGGAGAGAGGGAGAGGAGGAGACGAGGCGUGGGAUAUGGG